RNAcentral lists this ribosomal RNA (253 nucleotides) under uncultured bacterium. RNAcentral's name for it is "partial 16S ribosomal RNA". It matches the Rfam family "Bacterial small subunit ribosomal RNA", at positions 524 to 776 of the family's 1533-position model. The record is from RNAcentral.
UACGUAGGGCGCAAGCGUUAUCCGGAAUUAUUGGGCGUAAAGAGCUCGUAGGCGGUUUGUCGCGUCUGCCGUGAAAGUCCGGGGCUCAACUCCGGAUCUGCGGUGGGUACGGGCAAACUAGAGUGAUGUAGGGGAGACUGGAAUUCCUGGUGUAGCGGUGAAAUGCGCAGAUAUCAGGAGGAACACCGAUGGCGAAGGCAGGUCUCUGGGCAUUAACUGACGCUGAGGCGCGAAAGCUAGGGGAGCAAACAGG